AAUGGGCGCAAGCCUGAUGCAGCGACGCCGCGUGAGGGAUGACGGCCUUCGGGUUGUAAACCUCUUUCGCCAGGGACGAAGCGCAAGUGACGGUACCUGGAGAAGAAGGACCGGCCAACUACGUGCCAGCAGCCGCGGUAAUACGUAGGGUCCGAGCGUUGUCCGGAAUUACUGGGCGUAAAGAGCUCGUAGGUGGUUUGUCGCGUUGUUCGUGAAAACUCACAACUCAAUUGUGGGCGUGCGGGCGAUACGGGCAGACUGGAGUACUGCAGGGGAGACUGGAAUUCCUGGUGUAGCGGUGGAAUGCGCAGAUAUCAGGAGGAACACCGGUGGCGAAGGCGGGUCUCUGGGCAGUAACUGACGCUGAGGAGCGAAAGCGUGGGGAGCGAACAGGAUUAGAUACCCUGGUAGUCCACGCCGUAAACGAUGGGUACUAGGUGUGGGUUUCCUUCCUUGGGAUCCGUGCCGUAGCUAACGCAUUAAGUACCCCGCCUGGGGAGUACGGCCGCAAGGCUA
This 516-nucleotide ribosomal RNA is filed under the name uncultured Actinomycetes bacterium. RNAcentral describes it as "bacterial SSU rRNA". It matches the Rfam family "Bacterial small subunit ribosomal RNA", at positions 370 to 896 of the family's 1533-position model. Lineage: Bacteria; Bacillati; Actinomycetota; Actinomycetes. The record is from RNAcentral.